CCGUUUUUCGGGUAAACAAUAAGUUAUUAAUCUAAUAAGAGAGAUUGGAGUAACGGUCUAUUUUGUAAUUUUGGAUAAUGUAGUAUUGAUCAAUCCAGAGACAAUAAUCUCCUAUGCCCACUGAAAAUUUGAUUAGAAGGAAAUAACAUUAUAAAGAUUGUGUGUUAUUUUCUUACAAUCUCAUGAGAAAUAAUCAUAUAAGAAAAUAAUAUUUUAAUGAACUACAACCACUUCUCCCUCAAUUUCACAUGGCCUAUAGCUUUCACCCCUUUUGCAUUUUUCUUCAACUUGUUCUAUGCUAUGAUCCUUAUAUAUGUCCCAACCAUAAGUUGUAUAGUCUUCCAUGCAUUGCAAAUAGCAAAGGAGCUUCGUUUCUUCAAGAGUUCUACAGUUUACCAAUGUCUCGGAAAAUAAAACUAAGACAAAUAUGCAAAUUUGCAACACCGUUAUAAUUUGGUUACGACACAUUUUUUUCUUGAUAUAUAUUUCCUGCAAGAUAAUACUUUUGUUAAUAUCGACAAAAAUUCUUGGUGACCAUCUUUUUCAAAAUAUAAAUUAAUAAGCAACACAUCCUUUCAAAAAUAAAUCAAUUUUUGGUAAUUAACUUGUGAAUUCAAAAUCCACUUGCCCAAAUUUCCCCAACUCAAACAAUAGGUAAUCGUAAUAAUAAUGUGACGAAAUGUAAGUAUGGCUUCUAAAUUUAAAACCCAGCUUAUUGAGAACAAUAAUUUUCGAUGAUUAACAUUAUUGAUACAUAUUAUACCUCAUACUUAUUUAUACUCAGAAAAUCUAUAAUAGAAUAUUACAGAUGUUUGUAAUUUUCGGGGAUUUAUGUCAUAAAACUGAAUAAAUACAUUUAUGGCCAUAUAGAUGAAAUAAAAAAAGGAACUGAUUAGUAAGAGUUCUUUGCAUUUUGCAUCGAUAAACCCGAGGAAGAAAUUUGUUUCCUUUCCCUUCCAAUUCCUCCUUUUUCCUUUUUUUUUUUUUAAAAUUGAAUUUCAUUUUAUCCCUCAUCAUAUGGAUUAUGUUAAGAUCAUACAAAAAACCUGAAUAGAUUUGAUGUAUGAAAUGCAAGAACUCAAUAAAUAAAUAUAGCAACAACGAACACUUUCAAGAAAUUGAUGGAAUUAAGUUUGCUUACGUAAUUUUGACAGUCUUAAGCUAUGUCUGCCCAACAGUUUUGUUCUGAUUGAUAAAGCUUAAUAAAUUUUAUGUAAGAUAAAAUGGUUAAUAAAAAGAUUUGACUUUGUAACGGAUGAUCUAAAUGCAUUUACUAACUUGGGAGUUUCAAAAAAAUUUGUAUGUGUUCGUUGCAUUCUUGCAAUAAUCAUAGUUCAUUGCAAUUAGGGGUGUACAAAAAAAUCCAUAAAUAUGGGACCCAUUUAAAAUAAAUAAAAGAAAAAGAAAAAAGGAUGGCUGAAACAAGUUGUGCAACGACAAGUCUGAUUUUGCAAAGCCAAAUCUGAUUUCGAAAAAGGCAAAUCUGAUUUUUGUAAAACCAAAUUUGAUUGGUUACAAGGGACGGCAACUUUGGCUAUAAAUAGAAGCCUUCGUUCUUCAUUUCAGGUACAUCAAAGACGAGAGAAACAGAAAGCUACAGAUUGUUGUUUGUGAGAUAAAUAAUGAGUGUUAGUAAUAUCAUAGUGAGCUGUUUAAAAUAAGGAGUAUUAUUUCUUUGGAAGUUGUAGUAGUCUAUUGGCACUACUAAGUUGUAAUAUUAUAGUGGUAAUAUUGCUCCGUUCGGGUAUUGUAUUUUACCCUAUUAAAAGAUUUAGUGUCGUUGUUACUCUCUUGUAUUAUUACUAUUUGCCAUGGAUAUUAUUCCUGGACGGGAAUAUUAUUUUUUUCCCAACAAUGUGAUAUCAGAGCCAUGGCGAAUAAUGGUCCGCUAUCUUUUCUGUACCCCCGUCUCACAAAAGAUAAUUAUGUUAAUGGUGUCUACGUCUGAAAGCCAUUCUUGGCUCUUAGAAUGUAUGGGAAAUCGUAGAUUGAGGGUAUGCAAAACCUGAUAAUGAGAAAACUCUACCUCAAAAUAAAAAAGAUGUCUUGGCAAAGACAAGAAAGAAGGAUCAACAAGCUCUCACGCGCAUCCACCAAUGUCUGGAUGAUGCCAUGUUUGAGAAGGUGGCAGAUGCUACCACCUCAAAGGAAGCUUGGGAGAUUUUACAAAAUUCCCUUCAAGGAGUUGACAUGGUGAGGAAGAUAAAACUUCAAACUCUAAGGGCUGAGAACAUGAUUCUCGAUGAACUAUCGUGGCCUGCAAAGGAAAAAGAACCGAAGUCAGAAAAGAAAAGCAAAUUUAAAGGUAACUCCAUAUGAUUUAAGGCCUACCUGAUUCAAAGCCUGAUGUACUCCGUGAAAAAGAUCUGAUGCGUCACUUGUACCGGCAGUGUCUUCGACGUUGAUGAACAGGUCAUGAAAAUGAUCCUCU
This 2431-nucleotide long non-coding RNA is filed under the name Nicotiana tabacum (common tobacco). RNAcentral describes it as "long non-coding RNA (NTAB_LNC013566)". Lineage: Eukaryota; Viridiplantae; Streptophyta; Magnoliopsida; Solanales; Solanaceae. The record is from RNAcentral.